This 377-nucleotide unclassified non-coding RNA is filed under the name uncultured bacterium. RNAcentral's name for it is "contains 16S-23S intergenic spacer region". The record is from RNAcentral.
UCCGAGUUGUCCCCGGCAGUCCUCUUAGAGUCCCCGGCAUUACCCGCUGGCAACUAAGAGCAGGGGUUGCGCUCGUUGCGGCACUUAAGCCAACACCUCACGGCACGAGCUGACGACAGCCAUGCAGCACCUGUGCAGGCUCCCGAAGGAGCCCCGUGUUUUCACGGGUUUACCCUGCAUGUCAAGCCCAGGUAAGGUUCUUCGCGUUUCGUCGAAUUAAGCCACAUGCUCCGCCGCUUGUGCGGGCCCCCGUCAAUUCCUUUGAGUUUCAGCCUUGCGGCCGUACUCCCCAGGCGGGGCACUUACUGCGUUAGCGACGGCACCGGGAGGGUCGCUCCCCCCGACGCCUAGUGCCCAUCGUUUACGGCGUGGACUAC